GGGAGAGGAAGGCAGGCAGCCGUGCCACACGUAGGCACCAAGCUGGUCCCCUGUGGACACUGUCCUUUAGUCCCCACUGCUGCCCUUCAGAGCAGAUAUGCCACUUGCCUCCCUUUCCAAUAAGGUUUGUGGCCCCGAGGAGGAGCAGUUUGCCGGGUCACUCAAGAGCCUGGAGGGACCUGGCUUGGGCCCAGAGGCACCUAAGGAGCCGCACAGCUCCCGCCCGCCCGCCCGCCCGCGGGGCUCGCGGCCCCUCCCGUCGGGGCUGCUGCCGCCGCGGCUGCUGCUGCAGGGCCCGCGGCCGCUGGACAGCGCCGGCCUCCAGAAGUGAUAGCUAAUUGGGCAGAGAAAGGGCCCGAUUGUCUGGCGGGGCCGGAAGAGCGGGCGUGGGCGGCUGAAAGCGCCGGGAGAAGGUGGCCCGCUUCGCCCAGCAGCUGCCGCCGGAGACGUUUGGAGAUUACGUCAGCGCUGGCGGCGGGGGAGCCUCCCCCCACCCGGGCCCUGACAAUGCGGCCCUUGUCGGCCCCGAGAGCCGCGCGCUCGGGAUGAAUGGCGCGGGGCCUCUUCUCCAAGGAGGCUGCUCGCGUCCCCGGUCUGUCUUCUCCUGCCAGGGGGGCCCUGGGUUGGGGCGUGGAGGGAACAGGGUCGGUCCCUUAGAGUGGCGGCCGCGGGCCUCGGAGACACCCCCCCCCCUCCACGGCUGGACUGAGCUGGCGGCCCCGGCUCCUGGACGCCUGGCUGGCACUUGGCACGGCCGGCCUGGAACCCGUGCCCGGACCUGGCUGUAGACCGUCUGCGCCCGGGGGCUGCCCGCCCUGGGCAUGGCAUCCUGGUUUGGGGAAGGCACGGGCCCCGACCCGCUCAUGGUCCUGCUGGUCAUCAUCCUGCUGGCCCGCUUCAUUCUGUGGUCCUGCCUGGGGACCUACAUCGAUUACAGGCUGGCCCGGCGGCAGCGGCCCGGCAAACCCAAGGAGGACUAGGGCCUCCGCCGGCUGGUGGCCUCCAGCUUUAGGCACCAAAGGGCCUUCCCUCCAGGAGGGCGCUGUCCCAGAGCUGUCCCGUCCUGGGGAGCUGUGGGCAGGGGGGCGCAGGGCGGGGAGACACCGCUACCUCCCACCCACAGGGCAGAGGUGGACCAGCCCCACCUGGACGGAGCAGGGCUGUCCUGGUCACAUCCCCUGACCCGUGUUGGGGGGAUGGAGGGGCCCCCUGCCCGCCCGUCCAUCAGGUUCUGGGGUCCCCCAUCCGUGUGCGUGAUCCUGGGGAUGGGUCUUCCUUUAAGACAUUCUCUGCUUCCGAUUCUUUAUAAAUGUGUGGGCAGGAAGAGGAGGGGGUGGAUGCGCCAAAGGGGUCGGGAGGGGGAGGGCACAGGGUAGCCAACCCUGCCACCAAAAGCCACCCCCGACGCAGUCUCCAGCAGGCGUGAGAGUGAGCCCAGACGGCGCCUUGGUUUCCCCGGAGCAGUCCCCUGGGAGGGUGUCAGCAUAACCUGUGACUCUGAGUUCAAGUCCAGCUCCAGCUGACCACAGGCAGACGCUUUCCCCAGCUCUUAAAUGGGCCCUUUAGUCCCCGCCCUCCUCCCUCAGAAGGUUCCCGGGAAGGUCCUCCAGCUUCAAGACACUGUGGAAAGUAACAUCGUGUCUUUUCUAGCAAAGGAAAUCUUGGUGACUCCGUUUUGCUCUGGUUUCGGCUGAAACGCCCGCCUGCGACCCCCUCCUCCUUCCCUCUUCUCCCAGGAACAAGUUGUUUCAAAGGAGCCACCCGAGAAGAAUGUGCGCCCUGACCUGACCCACGGGAAGGGGACAGGUCCAUCCCCUGCGUUAGGGGUCAAGAGGGAGGGUCUUUUCUUCUGUGCUUUUGAGCAUGCGCGCCCUGCUGCAGAAGUAAAAUGCCUUGUCGAGCUCUCCCCGGGUUCAGGCGUCUCAGUUUCCGACACGGACCAUCUGAGCCGUGUCCCCAACAACAUGAGGGCGAUUUAGUGGGGAAGCCCCAGGACCUGGGCCCCUCUGUGCUGUUACGUGUGUGGCUGAGACACCCCUGAGAAGACGGACAGGCAGGCAAACUUGACCGGAGCCCAAGAAUCCUGCGCCCCCUACGGCCACCUCCCGUCCCGCCUGCUGGUUCCCACCUGACCUCAGAAGCAGUGCUAUAGCUCGGAGUUUCUGUACCUGGCGGCAGAUUCGUAUCAUCUGGGAGAUUUUGGCAACACGGCCAAGCCCCCCAGACUGAGAAGCGUCAGCUGACUGAUUUCAAGACGCUCUUGGGAGACGGGGGCCUGGUGACGCUGGGAAUUCCAAAAGGAUUUGGGUCAGCGUGGAGUCUUAGGUGGCCAUUAGGGGGCUGGAGUCGCUUGGGCCCCCAUCGCUGGGAGCUGUCUGCCUUGCAGCAUCCUGCAGCGGGGACCACAGGCGUGAUACGCCCAGGCCUGGUGUGUGGCUGUCCUGUGGUUUCUGUUACUUGCAACUGAUGAAAUUACUCAUCAGAGUUUGUCAAAAUUACUCAUCUUAUAGUAUAAGCUCUCUGCAUCCAGAUGUCAACCGCCUACAGCCUCCUGACACGUGCCUGACACGGUGCAGGCACUACUCCCUGUGGCUGAGUGGGUGAGAGGUGCGCCCGGCUCUACACAGCCAGCAGCUGCAUAUUCAGCUGCAAGUAACAGCUAGACAGAUAGUCACUUGAACAAGAAAAGUUGUUUCUUUUUCUUUUUUUUUUUUGCUCUUUAGGGCCACACCAGAGGCAUAUGGAAGUUCCUGGGCUAUGGGUUGAAUUGGCGCUGCAGCUGCCAGCCUGCACCACAGCCACAGCAAGGCCAAAUCCAAGCCGUGUCUGUGACCUAUGCCACAGCUCAUGGUAAUGCCAGAUCCUUAACCCACUGACUGGGGCCAGGGAUGGAACCCACAUUCUCAUGAAUACUAGCUGGGUUUGUAAGCUGCUGAGCUACCAUGGGAACUCUGAGAAGUUUUUUCUGUUUAUUCUCUUACAUGCAGCAAGAAGGUCUGGGACUUUCCUGGUGGUACAGAGGGUCAAGGAUCUGGCAUUGUCACUGCUCUGACUUGGGCUGCAGCUGUGACACAGGUUCGAUCCCUGAGCCGGGAUCAAACUUCCCCAUGUCACAGGUGCGGCUUAAAAAAAAGAGAAGUCUGAGCUGGCAUUGGGCAUCCCCAGUCUGUGGUAUGGCAACUCCCUGAUGACAUCGGGGGUGUUCUGGGUAGUCAAGAAUUAACCUACCCAAGGAGCAUUCUGGCCUUUGCCCUUGGCUCCUGGGAAGGGAUCUCCAGGCCCUCGAAUGUUGUGCCUGAUAAAAGUGUUUAACUGGACCUGGGGUCACCUCAGACAGUCUAAGGGUGUGACUUUUGAUGGGAGCUUCGGGCCCGGCGGGGUCCGGCUGAAGGCCAGACGUGUGGGCGGGCCUGUGCAACUGGGGGCAGAAGCCAAUGAAAACUGCAGACGGAGGCUCGGGGGCCUUGCUGGUUGGCGGGGUUCGGAGGGUGUUGCUUGGAGGAGCUGGCCCCAUCCUGGACUCCGUGGGGAAGGUGACCAAAGCUCCGUGGACGGAGCUUUCCUGGAUUCUGCCCCAAGCACCUCUGCUCCUGGCUGAUGUUAACUCUAUUUUGCUGUAAUAAAUGGUAACCAUGA
This 3636-nucleotide long non-coding RNA is filed under the name Sus scrofa (pig). RNAcentral's name for it is "lncRNA (ENSSSCG00060049241.1)". Lineage: Eukaryota; Metazoa; Chordata; Mammalia; Artiodactyla; Suidae. The record is from RNAcentral.